GCCUUCGUGGCGUAGUGGUCAGCACGCUCGGCUAGUAUUCGAGAGGUCCGUGUUUCGAGUCCCGGCGAAGGCA
Molecule: non-coding RNA, 73 nt
Organism: Stegodyphus mimosarum
Lineage: Eukaryota; Metazoa; Arthropoda; Arachnida; Araneae; Eresidae
Source: Rfam